GGGGUGUGGUGUUGUGGAGACCCAAGUUUUCACUGGUAGGCCGUCUUUAGCAAGCCAUUUCAAGAAAAACCAUGUAAAGCUAAGCUGUAAACUAAAAACAAAAACGACUUUUUUAUCUCUCUCACAUUUAAGAUUACUUGUUAAAGCAACUACAUCGCUCAGGCAAUAUCUCAGAAACAGAAUUCUCAGAGCAUGUAGAAAGUCAUUAAAAUAAGAUUUUUUGUGACCUUAACAGUACAAAUGGUGAAAAACUGAAUACAAAAAGUCCCCAGGAUCCUAAGAAAAAGUUGGGAUCUUUAAGAAAAUUUCAGCAUUAAAAAUAAUGAAGUUCCCCUCUGCAGCUCAGCCCCUCCUUAAUCAUGUGAAUACCUAGUAAAAAGUUACUUCUAAAAUCACAUACUAUGAUACAAUUUAUCGUUUAACUCUCAGAAAGGCAAUUAGUAGUUGGAAAUCCUCUUAAACAAGAAUAACAAAAUAAAUACUGACAUUAGAAUAGUCAAAGUCACUCUUAACAGGAAAAAAAAUAAAUAAAACCAACAAGAAAAAAUGAGAUGGUGUUGCAAACAGAAGUGUGGAGAAGGAUAUGAGAAAUGUUUCAGGAAGGAUGUCUUUGAAACCAAGGCACAAAAUAUACCUGUGAAACAAGAUUACAUAGCUGUCGCACAGCCUGAGGAGAUCCAUCCAUAAAAUAUAAUGC
RNAcentral lists this unclassified non-coding RNA (697 nucleotides) under Hevea brasiliensis (rubber tree). The record is from RNAcentral. Lineage: Eukaryota; Viridiplantae; Streptophyta; Magnoliopsida; Malpighiales; Euphorbiaceae.